CACUCAUGUUUCUUUUCAGAUCGUAUAAAUCUUUCGCCUUUUACUAAAGAUUUCCGUGGAGAGAAACACAAUGAGUAUAAGCUAACUUUUGAUACCCUGCAUAACUGUAGGGG
Molecule: small nuclear RNA, 113 nt
Organism: Carassius auratus (goldfish)
Lineage: Eukaryota; Metazoa; Chordata; Actinopteri; Cypriniformes; Cyprinidae
Gene: U5
Rfam family: U5 spliceosomal RNA
About the family: U5 RNA is a component of both types of known spliceosome. The precise function of this molecule is unknown, though it is known that the 5' loop is required for splice site selection and p220 binding, and that both the 3' stem-loop and the Sm site are important for Sm protein binding and cap methylation.
Source: Ensembl